This 26-nucleotide small RNA is filed under the name Bombyx mori (domestic silkworm). RNAcentral's name for it is "ovarian small RNA-24750". The record is from RNAcentral. Lineage: Eukaryota; Metazoa; Arthropoda; Insecta; Lepidoptera; Bombycidae.
UCAAGGUCUUCAUCCGCGGUCCAAGG